This 393-nucleotide long non-coding RNA is filed under the name Homo sapiens (human). Its description in RNAcentral is "HSALNT0052785". The record is from RNAcentral. Lineage: Eukaryota; Metazoa; Chordata; Mammalia; Primates; Hominidae.
UUCAAGCCAGCACCUCCGCCGAGUGAAACCGAGCAACGUUUUUAAAACGAGCUUAAAGGGGGCCAGGUGUUAUGCCCACGCCGUCUGAAGUUAACUGAACAAAUUUGGACCGCCCACCCCUCGCCCCCGGCCCUGGAACUGGGCCUCUUCGCCUCUCCCACUUCGUAUCUGGUCCAUCCUCUCAGUCUGAUCACCUUGAUGUCCCUCACCUGACAGAUUACCCAGCCGCAGACUGCCCAGCUGAAAGAGACCAUGGAUUUUUUUUUUUUUAAAAAAAACGUUAUACAGGUGAGGACACAGCAAUCCUCCAGAGGAUGCAGCAACAAGACACCAUCUUGGAAGCAGAGCAGCCCUCACCAGACACCAAAUCGGCCAGCCCAUUGAUCUUAGACU